GCCUUCGUGGUGUAGUGGUUAGCGCGCUCGACGCGUAUUCUAACGAUCCGUGGUUCGAUUCCAGGCGAAGGCG
This 73-nucleotide transfer RNA is filed under the name Stegodyphus mimosarum. It matches the Rfam family "tRNA". Rfam says of the family: Transfer RNA (tRNA) molecules are approximately 80 nucleotides in length. Their secondary structure includes four short double-helical elements and three loops (D, anti-codon, and T loops). Lineage: Eukaryota; Metazoa; Arthropoda; Arachnida; Araneae; Eresidae. The record is from Rfam by way of RNAcentral.